RNAcentral lists this ribosomal RNA (274 nucleotides) under uncultured bacterium. RNAcentral's name for it is "partial 16S ribosomal RNA". It matches the Rfam family "Bacterial small subunit ribosomal RNA", at positions 523 to 796 of the family's 1533-position model. The record is from RNAcentral.
AUACGGAGGGGGCUAGCGUUGUUCGGAAUUACUGGGCGUAAAGCGCACGUAGGCGGAUUAAAAAGUUAGAGGUGAAAUCCCAGGGCUUAACCCUGGAACUGCCUUUAAAACUAGUAGUCUAGAGUUCGAGAGAGGUGAGUGGAAUUCCAAGUGUAGAGGUGAAAUUCGUAGAUAUGUGGAGGAACACCAGUGGCGAAGGCGGCUCACUGGCUCGAUACUGACGCUGAGGUGCGAAAGCGUGGGGAGCAAACAGGAUUAGAAACCCUAGUAGUCC